RNAcentral lists this ribosomal RNA (4620 nucleotides) under Triticum aestivum (bread wheat). RNAcentral's name for it is "partial small subunit ribosomal RNA". The record is from RNAcentral. Lineage: Eukaryota; Viridiplantae; Streptophyta; Magnoliopsida; Poales; Poaceae.
GCGAAACUCUUUGCCCCGUUUGGCGGCGGUGGGCAAAUGGGUGCUCGCGUGGCCCUCGUGAGGCGCCGCCACCACCGCUCACCUUCCGCUACCCCACCACUCUCCCCGUGGACUCAUUCCCUCGCAUCUCCGGCUUAGGAUCGGUCGGGCGCUCGCUCACCUCCCACAGUCCCUGACCAGGUGAAAGAGAAGAGGAGCAGCUGCGGUCCAGCCGUGGUGAAUUUCUCCUCCUCCUCCUCGACAACACACAGGUGCUGUCGAUGUCAUGUGCUCGCUGAUCGUCUUCCCGCGACGUCCGUCGGUUCCUGCUCGCCUCGGGCAACCGCUGUGUGUUGUUCCCUGUUGCUGCUGAGUGCUGGGCUGUAGUCUGUUUGCUGUUGAUGUAUGAUUCAAUCCAGUAGCAUGUACAGUACUCCGGAGUACUCGUAAUUAGCAAGUAAUCCGGUAUGCUGUUGAUGAAAUAAACAUGUACUCCUGCAUAUAUCCCCAAUGGCUGUUGAUGUACGAUCCAUGAAGCUCUGCUAAUGAAUUAGCUACUGGUGGAUCCUAGGAAGAAAAAAAUUGUUGCACAGAAUGCCCAAGGGUAGUUAUAAAACUGUUGCAAACGAUGCUCAUAGCAGCUCAAGAACAAGUGAAAUUCACCUAGGCCAACCAAUUCCAUAUUUAGGUAUUUGCUGGGUUAAGUAUUUGGUCCCCAAAUUUUCACGCAUUAUGGUGGUGAGCUAAAACCAUCAUAAGCGAAUUAUUGCCAAAUUGGUAGAAAAGGAAACAUUAGUACUAAAAAAGCACACACAGAGUUUAUGUCUGGUUGGACCAAGUGGUUUCUGAUCAUGCAUUCUUGAUGCAGGUGCAAGCAGGAGGCGAACGCAAGCGUAUGUUGGUGUGUAGAGGUGACCAUUUUUGGCUUCUCAAGCAACCUGCAAGCACGCAUCACACUAUUUCAGUGAAUGUAUGUGUAAGCAUCCUAAGAAUACGUCCCACUGUGCAAAGGUUGUGUGAACAUUGGUCACUCUACUCUUAUCUAGGCUGGGCCGGCAAUAGAUUGAAUGCAAAUCAAAUAUUGAUCUUCAUGUGUUUGCAGGCAUAUUUUAAUUAUGAUGAUUACCAAAUGAUUCCUGCAGUUGUUUUGUUUCAAAUGCGAUUCUUGGAUAGAGAUUGAACUCGUACUCCAAACGAAUGUACGCUGGGUCUGGUCGAACUGCAACAUCUGCCUAAUUUAUUUUCACAUUAAACGCAAUUCAGCAUUAUAAUACGAUGUAUUAUGCUCAUAAAACAUGUAGAUUCUAAAUUACAAUGACUUAUGGCUGGUUAGAUAGUCUACAAAAAAAACUCAAUGUUCAAUUUGAAUUCGGAAAAGCAUAGAGAGACGCUCCAAACAAGAAAAUUUAGAAUAUACUCAAAUUUAUGUUCUAUUGUCGGAUUUUAGCACAAAUUAUUAUUUUCUGUUCAUGUUUGUGAAAAUUUUAUUUGCAUUCUACAGGAUUUGGAUACUUCUUACUCCCUCCGUUCCACAAUGUAGUGCGUAUAUAUUUUUGAAAAGUCAAAAUUUACAAACUUUGACCAUAUUUAUAGAGAAAAAUAGGUACAUCUAGAAUACCAAAUACAUAUCGUUGGAUACAUCAUGAGCUAUAUUUUCAUAAUGUACAUGUUUGGUAUUUGAAAUAUAGAUAGUUUUCUCUAUAAACUUGGUCAAAGUUUGCUAAGUAUGACUUUCAAAAAAAUCUAUAUGCACAACAUUGUGGAACGGAGGGAGUACUAUUUAUUUCUGCACCUACCUGUAGGUUACUCUAUCAUACUAGAUAUCUUUGUGUUUCAAGAGCUUGUAUUCAAAUUUCUGAAGGGCGUAUUUUCCCCCCACGCUAGAGGAAUAUAUAUUGGCGUAUUUGGGACUCAACUAACUUUAAUCCCGUAGGAACUGUUUCUUUUUCAGUGCAACAAAAAGAGGUUGAAAACCUUGCACAAGCCGUCAGGUCAGAAGUAACAAGAAAAACAAAAUGAAAUCAGUCUCCUCUCCUCCAUUUAGUACUAGUACUAGUCCGACUACUAGUACUCCAGUCCAACUGCUCACUCUACCUCCCACCUCAGCUUGUACGUAAGUGUGGGCAGAAUCAAAGUAUUGCCAAACUCUAAACUCAGCGUUGAAAGUGGUGUUGGUGGAUUGAUAAGUUGAUGUAUCUAAUGGCAUACAUGCCUUCCUGCGGCACCUUCCAUGCACCUUUAGUGUCUUCUUGCCUGAGGAGGAAAUUCACAGUGGUGGCCACGGCUUCCAAGGCCAAGUGAGUUCUGCUCUUCCUCUUCAUCAUGCAAAAACUUUGUGGUUGGUUAUAUAUUCCUGUUCUGUUCUUGAAUCUUGCUCGGAGUGCUUGUGUCGGCUCCGUGAUCUUGGUUGAGCUGAUAUUUUGCUACUUGGACACCAGAGAUGGCAAGUGGUUAUUCUGUCUUGGGAAUGAAUGAAUCUUUGAUUUUUCCAACGGGCUUCCUGUAGGUUCCCUAGAUUGAACUGAAUUUGGUCAUAAAAGAAUAUGUUCAUUUGUUUUCGGUCAUUUAUCUGUUUGCUGAUGCUUUUAUCAUCGUAAUCUUGCUUUAAUGUACUUGUGGAUAUUGGAGAGUCGAGUUUUGAGAAAUUUUCACUCUAUGCCUUAUUUCAAGCUGAUUUGGUUAUUGACAAGUAGUUUUCUCUUCUAUUUUUGUUUUGUUUUGUUUACGGAGCGAGCUAUUAUUUCUUGCAUACAGUGUUUUUAUGCUUUGUUGUCUUUGGACAGAUGUAUGUUUAAAUCCUACAGUUCAGUUGCAUGGCAUGCAACUUUUGUGUAUGCCCCUUUUUUUUAUUUUGUUAGUUGAAUGAUUGUGAGAAGCAGAUUGGGUGUUAUUUGCAUUUUUUUGCUGGUCUCCUGCUCGGUUCUGUAGUCGUGGAGGCCAGAUCACUCACCUGCAGGCCAUGGCAUUCAAAAGGCGUGAAGUACUAGUGUAAUGAAGUUACGUGCUUGAGCUCAUUACGUUUUCCUCUUGCAUGUAGUUGCAAAUAGCAUGCCAUGCUGCUCGAAAAGAGUAUCUGAGUAGCAUCGAUGAUUUAUUUCAUGGAAAUUAGCACUUAGUUUUGGACCCAUUGGCACAGCUCACAAGCUCUUGAAUUUGCAUGAACUAGUGUAAAUUUGCUGGGAGUAAAAACAUACUAGGUCUUUCAUCAAUCUGGAUAGUCUUUCUUUUUCGAGCUUUAAUCUGAUUAUUUAGUUGUGUUAUAUUACCCAUUUUCCCAUUACUCUUGUGCAUUAUAAGUUACUUUGUCUGCUUACGAAGGGUUGGAACUCCCAAAAAGGCCUCCACUCAAGUCCGAUUCACGCAACCAUUCCCACCUGAAAAGAAGGAAAUUUUCGAUUCAUUGGAACGCUGGGCAGAGGAAAACAUCCUGGUCCUGUUGAAGCCAGUAGAGAAAUCAUGGCAGCCGCAGGACUACCUACCAGACCCUUCCUCGGAUGGAUUCUAUGAUGAAGUCAAGGAGUUGAGGGAACGGGCCAAGGAGAUCCCGGAUGACUACUUGGUCUGUCUGGUUGGAGACAUGGUCACUGAGGAAGCACUCCCUACUUACCAGACAAUGCUCAAUAUUCUCGAUGGCGGUGUCGGCGACGAUACUGGCACCAGUCCAGCCAGCUGGGCUGUCUGGACGAGGGCAUGGACGGCCGAGGAGAACAGGCACGGUGAUCUCAUGAACAAGUACAUGUACCUCACUGGGAGGGUUGAUAUGAGGCAGAUUGAGAAGACCAUACAGUAUCUCCUUGGUGCUGGAAUGGAUCCAAAAACCGAGGGCAACCCAUAUGAGGGUUACAUCUACACAUCUUUCCAAGAGAGGGCAACCUUCAUAUCUCACGGCAACACUGCAAGGCACGCCAGGAAGUACGGGGACCUGAAGCUGGCUCAGAUAUGUGGCACCAUCGCGGCCGACGAGAAGCGCCAUGAGACGGCCUACACCAAGAUUGUGGAGAAGCUCUUCGAGGUCGACCCCGACUACACGGUGCUGGCCUUCGCCGCCAUGAUGAGGAAGAAGGUCACGAUGCCCGCCCACUUGAUGUACGACGGGCAGGACGACAACCUGUUUGAGCACUUCAGCGCGGUGGCUCAACGGCUGGGCGUCUACACCGCCAUGGACUACGCCGACAUCCUCGACUUCCUGGUCCAGAGGUGGAACGUGGCCAACCUCACUGGGCUGUCCGGGGAAGGGAGGCGGGCUCAGGAUUUCCUCUGCUCACUGGGACCAAGGUUCAGGAAGCUGGAGGAGCGAGCUCAGGGCAGGGCGAAGCAGUUACCGGUUGUUCCUUUCAGCUGGAUCCAUGGCCGGCAAGUGCAACUUUGAGUGGCAUUGCUAAACAAUUAUAAGACAAUUUGUUCUUCUUAUUUUCAAAAUAUGAAGCAACUGUUGACUUGUACUACUAUAAACAUAUCUACUCUGCAUGUGCCAAAGAAGCUUAAAAUAACAUAAUUAUAUCAUGAACACAUCCAGACUUUUUGUUUGUUUGUUUGUUUGUUUGUUUGUUUCAGUUGUCCAUUUUGAAUAUUGGAUUUGGACAUGUAUAGUCAUCUAAGAGCAUCUGCAGCAGCUCCCAUCUACCCAAAUGUUUUUUGGUG